GUGGGGAAUAUUGGACAAUGGGCGAAAGCCUGAUCCAGCAAUGCCGCGUGAGUGAUGAAGGCCUUAGGGUUGUAAAGCUCUUUUACCAGGGAUGAUAAUGACAGUACCUGGAGAAUAAGCUCCGGCUAACUCCGUGCCAGCAGCCGCGGUAAUACGGAGGGAGCUAGCGUUGUUCGGAAUUACUGGGCGUAAAGCGCACGUAGGCGGUUACUCAAGUCAGAGGUGAAAGCCCGGGGCUCAACCCCGGAACUGCCUUUGAAACUAGGUAACUGGAAUCUUGGAGAGGUCAGUGGAAUUCCGAGUGUAGAGGUGAAAUGCGUAGAUAUUCGGAAGAACACCAGUGGCGAAGGCGACUGACUGGACAAGUAUUGACGCUGAGGUGCGAAAGCGUGGGGAGCAAACAGGAUUAGAAACCCGUGUAGUCC
This 425-nucleotide ribosomal RNA is filed under the name uncultured bacterium. RNAcentral's name for it is "partial 16S ribosomal RNA". It matches the Rfam family "Bacterial small subunit ribosomal RNA", at positions 354 to 796 of the family's 1533-position model. The record is from RNAcentral.